RNAcentral lists this unclassified non-coding RNA (253 nucleotides) under Hevea brasiliensis (rubber tree). Lineage: Eukaryota; Viridiplantae; Streptophyta; Magnoliopsida; Malpighiales; Euphorbiaceae. The record is from RNAcentral.
UCGGGUCAUAGCAGUAUCUUUUACAUUAUAAGUUUAAUAGGGUCUCCUGAAAACUCAAUUCUCGCUAAAAGUAUGUAAACAACUAGGACAGUGAUAGAAAGUAGUCUGCCCCUCAUCUGCUGAUCUCAUUUGUCUGGUGGAAAAUUUAAGCUUUGUGUUGCUGCAUUUUUCACAUUUCUUAUUUAUCUCCAUGUCUUUCACCUCCAUCUUUCCUUCAAAAUGUGAGAUACCCAGAUCCCUUCUCAUAUCCUCA